AGUGGCGAACGGGUGAGUAAUACAUAAGCAACUACCCACGAAGACUGGGAUAAUCUCUGAAACGGGGACUAAUACCGGAUAGGUAAUCGGAAGGCAUCUUCUGGUUAUUAAAGGUUAAAAAACACUGGUGGAUGGGCUUAUGGCGCAUUAGUUAGUUGGUGAGGUAACGGCCCACCAAGACGAUGAUGCGUAGCCGGCCUGAGAGGGUGAACGGCCACAUUGGGACUGAGACACGGCCCAG
This 241-nucleotide ribosomal RNA is filed under the name uncultured bacterium. RNAcentral's name for it is "partial 16S ribosomal RNA". It matches the Rfam family "Bacterial small subunit ribosomal RNA", at positions 94 to 334 of the family's 1533-position model. The record is from RNAcentral.